Molecule: long non-coding RNA, 1525 nt
Organism: Eucalyptus grandis
Lineage: Eukaryota; Viridiplantae; Streptophyta; Magnoliopsida; Myrtales; Myrtaceae
Exons: 2
Source: RefSeq, a predicted model, not a curated record
UUGAUUGCAUUCUCACGCAAUUUUUCAUAAAAUCAAGACAUGAUUCUCCAUUUCAUUCCUUUACCUGCGUUUAUGUCAGCUCUUCUGGAAAUUUAUCAGUGGGAGUCUUGAGAGAAAGCCGACUGGUGCGUUGCCAUGUUCUUCAGCGAUGUCUCUCAUCACAAGGUGCGUCGCCAAGAAACGCUUAAAAGCUCGGCAUGACCCUGCACCCUCACCUCAUCAAGACCGCACUUGCUGGCGACCCGUUCAUCGUCAACCAUCUCAUUGGUAUGUACUCCAAAUGCUCUUCCAUCCGAAGCGCCCACAAGGCUUUUGAUGAUCUUGAUACAGAGAACGGUUACUCUUGGGACACCAUCAUUAUAUGGAUUAGCCGGAAUAGGCGAUUUCAAGAAAGCGCUCGACUUGUUCGAUGAAAUGCCGCAAAGGGCUCUUGUCUCUUAUAAUUCCUUGAUUCCUGGGUCGUCACGUCAUGGGUCUUAUGCGGAGUCUCCGAGAAUCAGGUCACACGCUUCCCAUUCCCCUUGAAGAUCACUCUCCAACAGCCCAAAUUUCUCUCUCUCUCGAGCCAUGUUUGCCCAGAACCACAUCUUCUCUCUUGCUCCCAAAUCCCACAACCCUGUUGAGAAGAGCAGAGAUCUUGAGUUUGAAUUCGGGGUUCCGUGUAGAAUGAGAAACCACCACAGCGGAAACUAUCCUGAUUUGCUUACUCUGUGGAAGCGCGAAAACAUGUCGGUAAGAGUAGCCAAAGAUGUGGACACGUCCCCACUACUUCCCCAAGAUCAUCACUACAGCAAUCUCUCUCCUUUGCUGAGGAUGCAGAGGAUCAAAGAAGGAAGAAGAGAGAUGAUGGAGAUGAUCCAGAACUUGCCUGAGUUGAGUAACUAGCUUUCCUUCAAGGAUAUUGUGGAUGAGAAGCUAUGUUUGCAGAAGAAUCAAGAGGAGUAAGAGGACAAUUUUGAAUUUCCAAGGGCUGAGGCAGAGUCAAAUAAAAAACAGGUGGAAAAAGAGGAAGAAAGUCACAAACGCCGCUAGUCAUCAGCAUCAUCAGGUGUCAAGAUGUAAUGGCAUGGAAACCAGAACUUUCCUGAUCAAGAUGUUUUCCCCUUCUUUCUUGGGAAACCCGCAGCAUCAUGGAACAGUAGAUCCCAGAUUUCGCCAAGGAUGUUGUUCGAGGGGCCUGAUCAGAGAAAUUCGGACAUGGUGUCAAGGAUUAAAAUGAGUCCUCAUGUGAAAGAUCAGGGGAGCCGCGACCGAGAUAGAACUGAAAGCAGUACCAGCAGGAGCAAGGGCUAUUCAAGCAGGUAAGAACUUGAAUUUUUUUCAAUACAACAUUCGAUCUGUUGAUUUUCAGUUAUUCGCCUUUCUGCUGACUCAGUAAUUUCCUAAGCAUAUUGCAAGAAAAGGCAAUACUUAUUGUAGAAAUUGCACAUUGUUUCAUUUGGGUUAAGAAAAAUCGUACCCUUAUAACCCCAAAACAGAAUUUCCACUUGUUAGUCUGAAAUAACAUGCUGAUAUGGUUUGCAGA